UCAGUGCUCAGGGCAGAUUGGAUGUUUGGAUAUAAACAGGGUCAGGGCUCAGGGCAGAUUGGAUGUUUGGAUAUAAACAGGCUCAGGGCAGAUUGGAUGUUUGGAUAUAAACAGGGUCAGGGCUCAGGGCAGAUUGGAUGUUUGGAUAUAAACAGGCUCAGUGCUCAGGGUAGAUUGGAUGUUUGGAUAUAAACGGGGUCAGGGCUCAGGGUAGAUAUUUUGAGGCUUGAUGACCAAUCUUGUUUUCAGGUCCUUCAGUAGUUGUGUGUACCCACUCCAGCAGCUGAUGCAUACCAGCCA
Long non-coding RNA from Oncorhynchus tshawytscha (Chinook salmon), 300 nucleotides. The record is from Ensembl. NCBI's taxonomy places the organism in Eukaryota, Metazoa, Chordata, Actinopteri, Salmoniformes, Salmonidae.